RNAcentral lists this ribosomal RNA (253 nucleotides) under uncultured bacterium. RNAcentral's name for it is "partial 16S ribosomal RNA". It matches the Rfam family "Bacterial small subunit ribosomal RNA", at positions 524 to 776 of the family's 1533-position model. The record is from RNAcentral.
UACGUAGGGUGCGAGCGUUGUCCGGAAUUAUUGGGCGUAAAGAGCUCGUAGGCGGUCUGUCGCGUCGAAUGUGAAAACCCGGGGCUCAACUCCGGGCUUGCAUUCGAUACGGGCAGGCUAGAGUUCGGUAGGGGAGUCUGGAAUUCCUGGUGUAGCGGUGAAAUGCGCAGAUAUCAGGAGGAACACCGGUGGCGAAGGCGGGUCUCUGGGCCGAUACUGACGCUGAGGAGCGAAAGCGUGGGGAGCGAACAGG